RNAcentral lists this ribosomal RNA (301 nucleotides) under uncultured bacterium. Its description in RNAcentral is "partial 16S ribosomal RNA". It matches the Rfam family "Bacterial small subunit ribosomal RNA", at positions 509 to 807 of the family's 1533-position model. The record is from RNAcentral.
CAGUCGCCGCGGUAAUACGAAGGGUGCAAGCGUUAAUCGGAAUUACUGGGCGUACAGCGUGCGUAGGCGGUUUGUUAAGUCUGUUGUGAAAUCCCCGGGCUCAACCUGGGAAUGGCAAUGGAUACUGGCAAGCUAGAGUGUGUCAGAGGAUGGUGGAAUUCCCGGUGUAGCGGUGAAAUGCGUAGAGAUCGGGAGGAGCAUCAGUGGCGAAGGCGGCCAUCUGGGACAACACUGACGCUGAGGCACGAAAGCGUGGGGAGCAAACAGGAUUAGAUACCCCCGUAGUCCCUGUCUCUUAUAC